This 253-nucleotide unclassified non-coding RNA is filed under the name uncultured Pseudobdellovibrionaceae bacterium. RNAcentral's name for it is "uncultured Bdellovibrionaceae bacterium contains 16S-23S intergenic spacer region". It matches the Rfam family "Bacterial small subunit ribosomal RNA", at positions 524 to 776 of the family's 1533-position model. Lineage: Bacteria; Pseudomonadati; Bdellovibrionota; Bdellovibrionia; Bdellovibrionales; Pseudobdellovibrionaceae. The record is from RNAcentral.
GACGAGGGGUCCUAGCGUUGUUCGGAAUUACUGGGCGUAAAGCGCGUGUAGGCGGCUUUUCAAGUCAGAUGUGAAAUCCCAUGGCUUAACCAUGGAAUUGCAUUUGAUACUGGGAGGCUUGAGUGCGAGAGGGGAUAGUGGAAUUCCUGGUGUAGUGGUGAAAUACGUAGAUAUCAGGAGGAACAUCGGUGGCGAAGGCGGCUAUCUGGAUCGCAACUGACGCUGAGACGCGAAAGCGUGGGGAUCAAACAGG